ACUACCCCUAGAGGCAUUGCAUGUAUGGCUAAUGUGUCACAUGCAUGUCUGUAGGUGGCAGAGAAGAGAGAGGUCAUGUCUGUGCAAAGUGUUCUGACAUGUGAAUAUCUGAAUGAUCAAUUGCCUAACACU
Small nucleolar RNA from Apodemus sylvaticus (European woodmouse), 132 nucleotides. RefSeq annotates it as small nucleolar RNA SNORA17. The record is from RefSeq and is a predicted model, not a curated record. The transcript has a single exon. NCBI's taxonomy places the organism in Eukaryota, Metazoa, Chordata, Mammalia, Rodentia, Muridae.